CCUACGGGCGGCAGCAGUGGGGAAUAUUGGACAAUGGGGGGAACCCUGAUCCAGCCAUGCCGCGGGUGUGAAGAAGGCCCUCGGGUUGUAAAGCACUUUCAGUGAGGAAGAACGCCUGGUGGUUAAUACCCAUCAGGAAAGACAUCACUCACAGAAGAAGCACCGGCUAACUCCGUGCCAGCAGCCGCGGUAAUACGGAGGGUGCGAGCGUUAAUCGGAAUUACUGGGCGUAAAGCGCGCGUAGGUGGCUUGAUAAGCCGGUUGUGAAAGCCCCGGGCUCAACCUGGGAACGGCAUCCGGAACUGUCAAGCUAGAGUGCAGGAGAGGAAGGUAGAAUUCCCGGUGUAGCGGUGAAAUGCGUAGAGAUCGGGAGGAAUACCAGUGGCGAAGGCGGCCUUCUGGACUGACACUGACACUGAGGUGCGAAAGCGUGGGUAGCAAACAGGAUUAGAUACCCGAGUAGUC
This 465-nucleotide ribosomal RNA is filed under the name Vreelandella stevensii. Its description in RNAcentral is "partial 16S ribosomal RNA". It matches the Rfam family "Bacterial small subunit ribosomal RNA", at positions 338 to 795 of the family's 1533-position model. Lineage: Bacteria; Pseudomonadati; Pseudomonadota; Gammaproteobacteria; Oceanospirillales; Halomonadaceae. The record is from RNAcentral.